Molecule: ribosomal RNA, 2066 nt
Filed under: human gut metagenome
Description: bacterial LSU rRNA
Rfam family: Bacterial large subunit ribosomal RNA
Source: RNAcentral
AAUCGAACCCGGAGAUAGCUGGUUCUCCUCGAAAUAGCUUUAGGGCUAGCCUCAUGCAAGUCUUACGGAGGUAGAGCACUGAAUUCCUAAGGGGGCGUCAAAGCUUACCAAGGGAUAUCAAACUCCGAAUGCCGUGUAGAUGGUGCAUGGGAGUCAGACUAUCCGAGAUAAGUUGGGUAGUCAAAAGGGAAAGAGCCCAGACCUACAGCUAAGGUCCCAAAGUGUGUGUUAAGUGGAAAAGGAUGUGGGAUUUCAAAGACAACUAGGAUGUUGGCUCAGAAGCAGCCACACAUUCAAAGAGUGCGUAAUAGCUCACUAGUCGAGAGGUCCUGCGCCGAAAAUGUCCGGGGCUGAAACACACUGCCGAAGCUCAGGAAUGAUCCUAGAUCAUUGGUAGAGGAGCAUUGUAUACGGGACGAAGCAGUACCGAUAAGGAGCUGUGGACUGUAAAGAAGAGAGAAUGCCGGAAUGAGUAGCGAGAGGAAGGUGAGAAUCCUUCCGGCCGAAUAUCUAAGGUUUCCAGAGUAAAGCUGAUCUGCUCUGGGUAAGUCGGGGCCUAAGGCGAGGUCGAAAGACGUAGUCGAUGGAUAACAGGUUGAAAUUCCUGUACUAUCCUGUAACAGAACUGUGGGGACACAGGCAGAGAGCGUGAGCCGGGAAUGGAAAGACCGGUACAAGCGAGGUAGGAGUGCAUCAGGCAAAUCCGGUGCACAAUCUGAAGACGUGAUGUGGGGCGUAAAGCCGGAAGUAUGUGAGCUGGCUGCCAAGAAAAGCCGCUAUUGUUUAUGAUAUACCCGUACCGUAAACCGACACAGGUGGAUGAGGAGAGAAUCCUAAGGCCGACGGGAGAAGCAUUGUUAAGGAACUCGGCAAAAUGACUCCGUAACUUCGGGAGAAGGAGUGCCAGGGAGAGCUGGCCGCAGAGAAUUGGCCCAAGCAACUGUUUAGCAAAAACACAGGUCUAUGCAAAACCGAAAGGUGAGGUAUAUGGGCUGACGCCUGCCCGGUGCUGGAAGGUUAAGGGGAGAGGUUAGCGCAAGCGAAGCUUUGAACUUAAGCCCCAGUAAACGGCGGCCGUAACUAUAACGGUCCUAAGGUAGCGAAAUUCCUUGUCGGGUAAGUUCCGACCCGCACGAAAGGCGUAAUGAUUUGGGCACUGUCUCAACAAUGCACCCGGUGAAAUUGAAAUACCAGUGAAGAUGCUGGUUACCUGCGCCAGGACGGAAAGACCCCAUGGAGCUUUACUCCAGCUUGAUACUGGGAUUCGAUAUUGCAUGUACAGGAUAGGUGGGAGACUUUGAACUCAUGACGCCAGUCGUGAGGGAGUCACUGUUGGGAUACCACCCUUGUAGUAUUGGAUUUCUAACCAGCAGCCGUGAACCGGCUGGGGGACAAUGUCAGGUGGGGAGUUUGACUGGGGCGGUCGCCUCCGAAAGGGUAUCGGAGGCGCUCAAAGGUUCCCUCAGAAUGGUUGGAAACCAUUCGAAGAGUGCAAAGGCAGAAGGGAGCUUGACUGCGACACCGACGGGUGGAGCAGGUACGAAAGUAGGACUUAGUGAUCCGGUGGUAUAAAGUGGGAUUGCCAUCGCUCAACGGAUAAAAGCUACCCUGGGGAUAACAGGCUUAUCACUCCCAAGAGUUCACAUCGACGGAGUGGUUUGGCACCUCGAUGUCGGCUCAUCGCAUCCUGGGGCUGAAGUAGGUCCCAAGGGUUGGGCUGUUCGCCCAUUAAAGCGGUACGCGAGCUGGGUUCAGAACGUCGUGAGACAGUUCGGUCCCUAUCCGGCGUGGGCGUAGGAUAUUUGAGAGGAGCUGUCCUUAGUACGAGAGGACCGGGAUGGACUGGCCGCUGGUGUAUCUGUUGCAUACCAAGUGCAUGGCAGAGUAGCCAAGCCGGGACGGGAUAAACGCUGAAGGCAUCUAAGCGUGAAGCCCCCCUCAAGAUGAGAUAUCCCAUAACGUCAAGUUAGUAAGACCCCUUGAAGACGACGAGGUAGAUAGGGCAGAGGUGGAAGUGCAGUAAUGCAUGGAGCUGACUGUUACUAAUCGGUCGAGGGCUUAUCCAG